This 305-nucleotide ribosomal RNA is filed under the name uncultured bacterium. Its description in RNAcentral is "bacterial SSU rRNA". It matches the Rfam family "Bacterial small subunit ribosomal RNA", at positions 336 to 633 of the family's 1533-position model. The record is from RNAcentral.
CUCCUACGGGGGGCAGCAGUGGGGAAUUUUGGACAAUGGGCGCAAGCCUGAUCCAGCUAUUCCGCGUGUGGGAUGAAGGCCCUCGGGUUGUAAACCACUUUUGUAGAGAACGAAAAGACACCUUCGAAUAAAGGGUGUUGCUGACGGUACUCUAAGAAUAAGCACCGGCUAACUACGUGCCAGCAGCCGCGGUAAUACGUAGGGGGCAAGCGUUAUCCGGAUUUACUGGGUGUAAAGGGAGCGUAGACGGUGAUGCAAGUCAGAAGUGAAAGCCCGCGGCUCAACUGCGGGACUGCUUUUGAAAC